Molecule: ribosomal RNA, 1408 nt
Filed under: Drechmeria panacis (nom. inval.)
Lineage: Eukaryota; Fungi; Ascomycota; Sordariomycetes; Hypocreales; Ophiocordycipitaceae
Description: eukaryotic LSU rRNA
Rfam family: Eukaryotic large subunit ribosomal RNA
Source: RNAcentral
ACCCGCUGAACUUAAGCAUAUCAAUAAGCGGAGGAAAAGAAACCAACAGGGAUUGCCCCAGUAACGGCGAGUGAAGCGGCAACAGCUCAAAUUUGAAAUCUGGCCCCCCGGGGCCCGAGUUGUAAUUUGCAGAGGAUGCUUCUGGCGCGGCGCCUUCCGAGUUCCCUGGAACGGGACGCCACAGAGGGUGAGAGCCCCGUCUGGUCGGACGCCAAGCCUGUGUGAAGCUCCUUCGACGAGUCGAGUAGUUUGGGAAUGCUGCUCUAAAUGGGAGGUAUAUGUCUUCUAAAGCUAAAUAUUGGCCAGAGACCGAUAGCGCACAAGUAGAGUGAUCGAAAGAUGAAAAGCACUUUGAAAAGAGGGUUAAACAGUACGUGAAAUUGUUGAAAGGGAAGCGCUCGUCACCAGACUUGCGCCCGGCGGAUCAUCCGGCGUUCUCGCCGGUGCACUCCGCCGGGCGCAGGCCAGCAUCAGUUCGCCGCGGGGGACAAAGGCGGCGGGAACGUGGCUCCCCCGGGAGUGUUAUAGCCCGCCGCGCAAUGCCCUGGGGCGGACUGAGGUCCGCGCUCCGCAAGGAUGCUGGCGUAAUGGUGACCAGCGACCCGUCUUGAAACACGGACCAAGGAGUCGUCUUCGUAUGCGAGUGUUCGGGUGUGAAACCCCUACGCGUAAUGAAAGUGAACGCAGGUGAGAGCUUCGGCGCAUCAUCGACCGAUCCUGAUGUUCUCGGAUGGAUUUGAGUAAGAGCAUACGGGGCCGGACCCGAAAGAAGGUGAACUAUGCCUGUAUAGGGUGAAGCCAGAGGAAACUCUGGUGGAGGCUCGCAGCGGUUCUGACGUGCAAAUCGAUCGUCAAAUAUGGGCAUGGGGGCGAAAGACUAAUCGAACCUUCUAGUAGCUGGUUUCCGCCGAAGUUUCCCUCAGGAUAGCAGUGUUGAACUCAGUUUUAUGAGGUAAAGCGAAUGAUUAGGGACUCGGGGGCGCUUAUUAGCCUUCAUCCAUUCUCAAACUUUAAAUAUGUAAGAAGCCCUUGUUGCUUAACUGAACGUGGGCAUUCGAAUGUAUCAACACUAGUGGGCCAUUUUUGGUAAGCAGAACUGGCGAUGCGGGAUGAACCGAACGCGAGGUUAAGGUGCCAGAGUAGACGCUCAUCAGACACCACAAAAGGCGUUAGUACAUCCGGACAGCAGGACGGUGACCAUGGAAGUCGGUAUCCGCUAAGGACUGUGUAACAACUCACCUGCCGAAUGUACUAGCCCUGAAAAUGGAUGGCGCUCAAGCGUCUCACCCAUACCUCGCCCUCGGGGUAGGAACGAUGCCCCGAGGAGUAGGCGGACGUGGGGGUCGUGACGAAGCCUAGGGCGUGAGCCCGGGUCGAACGGCCCCUAGUGCAGAUCUUGGUGGUAGUA